RNAcentral lists this ribosomal RNA (229 nucleotides) under uncultured bacterium. RNAcentral describes it as "partial 16S ribosomal RNA". It matches the Rfam family "Bacterial small subunit ribosomal RNA", at positions 568 to 796 of the family's 1533-position model. The record is from RNAcentral.
UCCGCAGGCGGAUUAAUAAGUCAGUGGUGAAAUCCCAUCGCUUAACGAUGGAACUGCCAUUGAUACUGUUAGUCUUGAAUUCGGUCGAAGUGGGCGGAAUGUGUCAUGUAGCGGUGAAAUGCAUAGAUAUGACACAGAACACCGAUAGCGAAGGCAGCUCACUAGGCCUGAAUUGACGCUCAGGGACGAAAGCGUGGGGAGCGAACAGGAUUAGAUACCCUGGUAGUCC